GAUGAACGCUGGCGGCGUGCCUAAUACAUGCAAGUCGAGCGAACAGACGAGGAGCUUGCUCCUCUGACGUUAGCGGCGGACGGGUGAGUAACACGUGGAUAACCUACCUAUAAGACUGGGAUAACUUCGGGAAACCGGAGCUAAUACCGGAUAAUAUAUUGAACCGCAUGGUUCAAUAGUGAAAGACGGUUUUGCUGUCACUUAUAGAUGGAUCCGCGCCGCAUUAGCUAGUUGGUAAGGUAACGGCUUACCAAGGCAACGAUGCGUAGCCGACCGGAGAGGGUGAUCGGCCACACUGGAGCUGAGACACGGUCCAGACUCCUACGGGAGGCAGCAGUAGGGAAUCUUCCGCAAUGGGCGAAAGCCUGACGGAGCAACGCCGCGUGAGUGAUGAAGGUCUUCGGAUCGUAAAACUCUGUUAUUAGGGAAGAACAAAUGUGUAAGUAACUAUGCACGUCUUGACGGUACCUAAUCAGAAAGCCACGGCUAACUACGUG
RNAcentral lists this ribosomal RNA (497 nucleotides) under uncultured bacterium. Its description in RNAcentral is "partial 16S ribosomal RNA". It matches the Rfam family "Bacterial small subunit ribosomal RNA", at positions 28 to 507 of the family's 1533-position model. The record is from RNAcentral.